AACGCUAGCGGCAGGCUUAAUACAUGCAAGUCGAGGGGCAGCACAUGAGUAGCAAUACGAUGGUGGCGACCGGCGCACGGGUGCGUAACGCGUAUGCAAUCUACCUUUAACAGAGGGAUAGCCCCGAGAAAUCGGGAUUAAUACCUCAUAAAAUUUUCACAUGGCAUCAUGAGAGAAUCAAAGCUGAGGCGGUUAAAGAUGAGCAUGCGUGACAUUAGCUAGUUGGAGAGGUAACGGCUCACCAAGGCGACGAUGUCUAGGGGUUCUGAGAGGAUGAUCCCCCACACUGGUACUGAGACACGGACCAGACUCCUACGGGAGGCAGCAGUAAGGAAUAUUGGUCAAUGGGCGGGAGCCUGAACCAGCCAUGCCGCGUGCAGGAAGACGGCCUUAUGGGUUGUAAACUGCUCUUAUCGGGGAAUAAAACUUUCUACGAGUGGAGAGCUGAAGGUACCCGAAGAAUAAGCAUCGGCUAACUCCGUG
This 483-nucleotide ribosomal RNA is filed under the name uncultured bacterium. RNAcentral describes it as "bacterial SSU rRNA". It matches the Rfam family "Bacterial small subunit ribosomal RNA", at positions 32 to 507 of the family's 1533-position model. The record is from RNAcentral.